Molecule: ribosomal RNA, 253 nt
Filed under: uncultured bacterium
Lineage: Bacteria
Description: partial 16S ribosomal RNA
Rfam family: Bacterial small subunit ribosomal RNA
Source: RNAcentral
UACGUAGGGGGCUAGCGUUGUCCGGAAUCAUUGGGCGUAAAGAGCGUGUAGGCGGUCCGGUAAGUCCGUUGUGAAAGUCAGGGGCUCAACCCUUGAAUGCCGGCGGAUACUGUCGGGCUAGAGUCCGGAAGAGGCGAGUGGAAUUCCCGGUGUAGCGGUGAAAUGCGCAGAUAUCGGGAGGAACACCUAUGGCGAAGGCAGCUCGCUGGGCCAUAACUGACGCUGAGAAGCGAAAGCAUGGGGAGCGAACAGG